Molecule: long non-coding RNA, 2349 nt
Filed under: Mus musculus (house mouse)
Lineage: Eukaryota; Metazoa; Chordata; Mammalia; Rodentia; Muridae
Description: small nucleolar RNA host gene 17
Rfam family: Small nucleolar RNA SNORA71 (bases 815-927)
Source: RNAcentral
AGUUUCCUGUCGCGUGGAUGUGUUUCCUCUCUGGCCAUUGCCAUCCGCCCAAAUCUACAGACAUCCCGCAUGUUCCCGGGCUCGUCUCCCCAAUACAGGGCACCAAGCAUCCUACCAAGGCGAAUCCAUUGACCAGGAUUUAAGUUGAGACUCCCCCAGGACCCCGGGUGCAGCAUCUGGGUCCCCCUGCCCCGCCCUGCCUUGCGCCGCAGCCGCUUCCGUUGUCCUGCCAGGCUGUAGACUGCGCAGCCCUCCUGGAGACAGAUGGAAGCUCCUUGGGUCGACAGAUUACAGCUUCUGGAACCCCCUACUCCCUUCAACUCCGAGAUGGACACCCACUGUCCAGGGAGAGGAUGCCUGGAAAUAACAGCUGGGAUCUACAGUGGCCAAAGAGUUGUCUCCGUCUUGCUACAUCGACAAACUGGUGCUCCUGAGUGAGGAUUGUGCCCUGGGAUGGGGGAUUCAGUUUCUUCAUUUAUAGUUGGAAGUGGGUGAAGCCACUUCGGAAGCGUUUUCCUCUCCACUCUGACAACAGGCAAGAGUGAGGGUCCAACAAUACAGAGGAAGUAACGUGUCGCUGCUACUCUUCCAUGCCCAGUGCCAGGAGCGACGGUACACUCCAGAGUGCUGUGCCCUGAUGGGCCUUUGAGUGGCCAGUGCAGUGGAUCAUCAGCCCUGUCUCCCAAGAGCUCCAGUCCCUUCUCCGGAGAGGAAGUGGGUCCACUGGCAGCUCAGGAGGCCAUAGCAGAUUGUGGGGCUCUGUGCAGUUGAUGUUAGUUAACCACUGGAUCCACGUGUUCACCGUGGCUUGCGCCCCUGCAUCCGAAAGUGAUCUUGGCUGCCGUGUCCUGGUCAUUGGUAGUGCAGGGAAAGGAUGCGGAAAGACGGGCUCCGAGCUCGGGGCGUCUGGCCUGGAGCUUUCCUACACUUGUGUCUUGCUCUGCAGCCUUACGGAAGUGUGGGUGGCGCUUUCUGGAAGCUGCACAAGUCAGUGCUGGGUCUUCGCAACUUGGUGUUCUGUUUCCAGAAACUUGGGGUGUUUGCAUGUGCUAGGUCAGCACAGAUUUCCAAAGGAUCUCUAGGUGGGUUCCCUAACUUUUCACAGAGGAGCAGAAGGUAGAUGACAGGAGGAGAGGUGGGGCUGGACUGAGGGGAGCUGUGUGUGCCAGGGUGGGGUGGGGCGGGGCGUGUAACAGCCCUUAAGCGUGUGUUGAGAGAAGGAGCUCCCUGGUACAGAGUGUGCAGCUCCCUUCCCAGCCUGUGGUCCCCGUGGCCCAAUGAGUUUUUGUAUCACUUGUGAGCCACUGGUCUUAAAAUGCAUGGUUUGCAGACCAAAAUGCAGUCCAACAUUAUUUGUUUCAUGUGUCUAUGUGAAUGCACAUAUGUAUGUAUGUCAUUUGUGCCUGGUGCCUGUGAAGAGUUUAUUGGGGGCUAGGAAUUUCAGAGGGUGACUCUUCAGGAUCUAUAUGGCUUCAGGCACGGCCAUGUUGGACAGUAGCUGGGAGCUCACAUACGUGAUAGGACCACCAGGCAGGGAGCUAACUGAAUGGCAUGGGCUUUUGGAGCCUCAAAGCUCUCCUGCCCCACCCCCAUGAUACCUCCACUAACAAGGCCAUACUUCCUAAUGGUCCCAAGCAGUUCUACCAACUAGGGACCAAAUAUUCAAGUAUAUGAGCCUAUAGGUGGAGGAACUUCCACACAGAUCCAAACUUUUAACAAAACAAAAAGCAGGAAAGCCAACUUUAUCAGAAGUUACAAUGUAAUCAGUGUCAGAAGGAAGAGAAUGGAAGUGGGAGACUGAGGUGGGGGGUAUGCUGAGGAUAUGGGAAGUGGGAGAUUGCGUGGGGGGGGGCUGAGGGUGUGGCUUUCAGUUGAGUGUCCAGCAUGGGAGGAGAAAGGGGGCUCUGGGAAGAAGCUGCUGCAGCCACCUUGUGUUCCCCCCACCCCCAGCUAAUAGCUGUGUCUUGGUUCCUGGUGAGAUCUUGGUUGACUCGGGGGUCCUGAGUGUGGCUUGUCUCUGCAGGAUUGUCACGUGUGCUCAACAGUCCUCCUCGGCUUUCCAGAAGAGGCUGGAACAGGGCCCUUGAAGAUGUUUGUGGACAUCAGAGGGCCAAAGACGACACAAAGUGAAACUGGAGACACCGCCCCCCCUUGGCAUCAUGAAACUGCCGAUGUUACUGGCUCAUGCAUGGGAGACACCAGCAUACAAAGUCUUGACACCAACACCUCAGAGGGCUGUGUUCUGUCCCCGUGACCAUCAUCUAGUGCCUGGAAAGACUAGUGACAAGAACUUGUUGCCAACUUCCUAUUACCUCCCUAACAGUUGUGCAAUAAACCCCAUAGGUUAAU